GCUGAGGGUGUGCUCAGUGGUCAGCACUUGCCUAGCAUGUGCGAGGUCCUGGGUUCCAUCCUCAGUCCUGCA
RNAcentral lists this transfer RNA (72 nucleotides) under Marmota monax (woodchuck). RNAcentral's name for it is "tRNA.Ala". Lineage: Eukaryota; Metazoa; Chordata; Mammalia; Rodentia; Sciuridae. The record is from RNAcentral.